AGCGCCACAAACCCCAUCACUUUAGUUCAUUUAUGAUGGAGCGUGGUGAGGCAUUAAACUGUUCUGCCGUCUGAUCAGCUCUUUUUGGAAAUCUCCAGGUGAGCAGGUAAAGGUCAAGAGGGAGGAUCUGUUAUCAGUAUACAGUGGGUGGAUUAGAGAACGUGGGCUGAGUAACUUGCACAUGUGGUGAGUGAUAUCAGCAGGUUAGGAACACAAAACCUGCUGAUAUUACUCGCACAAUAGUUUUCUACCUGAAUGUGUUUGUUCUUUACAAACAAAGGCCUAAUUGUUUUACAAAAUUUUAAAUGAAUAGUAUUCAUGAUGAUAUUAUUACCAUAUGAUCUUAUCUUUCAUUAAAAAGGAAUUGUCAUUGCUUUAUAUCAUCACUUGGAGGUUUUUUUUUUUUUUUUUUUUAUUGUUUUUUGCACUACCACACAGAUGCUGCAAAAAUCUUUUGUCUCCUGCUGAGCUGACAGAUCAAAUUUUCCUCUCCCUGUUUGUUCUUUUUCUUGUUGCCUGUUACUCUUGUUCAUAUGAGCUUUGGUGUUUAAACUUUUAUUUUAAGAGUCAUUCCUGUAGAAAGCUGUGCUUCCUUUGUUUCAGUCAGACUUUCUCCUGCUGUCCUGCUUCAGCGGUGCAGGCUUCUCUCCUGCAACAUCGUCCCCACCUGGAGGAAAACGUGUUUCCUUAUACAGAGAAAUGGGGGCGUGGCAGGAUGCAGAUUGCACAAGCCUGUUUGUGCCAAAUGAUACAGAGUUAUUAACAUAUACACAUUGGUUAGAUCAACACAGCCUUGUGAGCUUCAUGUUUCAUAAAUCCAACAGUAACUUAGAUUUAUUUAUUUAUUUAUUUAUUUUUUUUGGAGCAAACUAACAAGGUUUCCACGCACAUGCUAGUAAGCUGCUCCUCCAUAAACGGCAGUAAAUUAGCCUAUUUUACUGUACACACCUGCUUCUAGACAAAAUGAGACAAGAACAAAAUCAGUAUGUCGAUAUAAAAUAAAGUAACACCUGUGUGCUUGGUUUGUUCUUAAAGGUAGAUGCGUUUGUCUAUGAAACGCAUGCAUCAGCUGAUUGUCUGCACAGCUACAUGCUGCUUCAUUGCUGUGUAGCUAAGGAGACUCCCUAACUGAUACAAAUGUAGCAGGAGUCCAGAUCACUUCGCACUCACACUGUGCCUUUAGCUUGGCAUCAUGUAAGCAACUAAAAGUUUGUGCAUAUUUGUGACACAUUCACGAUGUCGUUGUGCUGUCUUUGGUUAUAUUUAGUGUGGCUAAUCAAUGCCUUGACCUCACCUAUCAGCUCUUCUUCAUUUCUAUUUGAAACCUGCUGCUGCUGGAGCUGCAG
This is a long non-coding RNA of Astatotilapia calliptera (eastern happy), 1346 nucleotides long. The record is from Ensembl. Lineage: Eukaryota; Metazoa; Chordata; Actinopteri; Cichliformes; Cichlidae.